UAAUAUAUUAUAAAAAAAUAUAUUUUAUUUUUAAAACCUAAUUAUUUAUAUUAUAAUACUUUAAAUAAUAUAAAAAAAAAUUAAAAUUCUUAUAAAAAAAAGAUUUAUAUAAUAUAUAUUUUAAAAAAAAUUUUAAAAAUAUUAUAUUAUAAAAAGGGAUUUUUAUUAAUAAUAUAUAUAAUAUUAUAAAAUAAUAUAAGAUUUAAAAUAAAAGUUAAAACUUAUUAUAUUUA
This 233-nucleotide transfer RNA is filed under the name Metarhizium anisopliae. RNAcentral's name for it is "tRNA-Lys". Lineage: Eukaryota; Fungi; Ascomycota; Sordariomycetes; Hypocreales; Clavicipitaceae. The record is from RNAcentral.